Molecule: unclassified non-coding RNA, 3257 nt
Filed under: Haliotis rufescens (red abalone)
Lineage: Eukaryota; Metazoa; Mollusca; Gastropoda; Lepetellida; Haliotidae
Description: uncharacterized LOC124133113, transcript variant X2
Source: RNAcentral
CUUUUCAAUACACGAAAGCUGCACAGCGCGGCUGUGGCGUCAUGCUAUUCUCUAUAUUUGAAUAGAUAUCUGUGACACGAAAACUCUAUAAAUAAACAAGUGUACAUAAACAGCGUACGUAGAUGACCUCUCAACAGUUAUCGCCGUCCUAUACUGAACGAUACUGGGAUUCGAGAGCGUUGUGUUUCAGGGAAUGUUAUCAGCCUGACGUGAUCCAUACUGAACAGACAAUCAGUGUGGCUUCAUUGGAUACAUUUACAACUGUGACAGUGGCGAUAUUAUUACACCAGACAUACACAUAAGUGGGACAACAGCUAUCCUGGUGUGGACUCAGAUCUUAGUCAGUACCAUCAACUAUGGGGAGACACGAGGUGCAGCUGCGACGAGGCCCGGGACGAGGACGAGGACGAGGACAAGGAAGAGGAAGAGGAAGAGAUCUGAGGUUUAUAUACACAAGCCACUUUGUUGGUGAGAGAGAGGUCGGACAUGCACCGGACAAUGCCCGAAGAGUGGAGGUGGUGCACAGGGACAUACAAGAUCAGGAACAAGUAGUCAUGUCUCAUGGAAGUCCCACGAGAGAGACAGGCUGGAGACAUUAUGGACAUCCAAGGGACAUACAGGACAUAGGCAGGAACAGCAGGAAGGACACUGUGGAAGAACAGGACACAGAUAUCAGAUUCAGUGAGAGAAGCUUAAAAUACCGACAUUCCGAUAGAAACAGCAGAUCUUGUUCACAUGAACAGAAUGGGUUGCCAGGGGUAAGGGUAAGUAGAUCUCGAAAAAGGCACCCUUCUUCUGAUGACUCAAAAGGAUCAGGCAUCUUUCGAGAUCCACAUGGGAGCAGGUCAUCGGAUGGACUCAGAAGAAUGAAAUACAAGCAGAAUAUUGACGAAAGAGUUGAUCAUUCAAACAACACAGGGUAUCACAAACCACAUGAACUGUUCAGAAGGGACCUGUCACCUGCUGAGCUUGGGUCAAAGAAGAAACGAAAACUAAAAAAAAGAAAUGAAAAUGGAAACAUUGAUGACAGAAUGAAGGAAUGCAAUGAUAGCAGAGUAAACCAUGACAUGACUACUGUUACCCUUGGUGAAAACACCGGCAUGGCUAAACCAGUUGAUUCAGAAGAGAAAUUGAAAUCGUCAAGCACAACAGAGAAAGAAGACCUGGCUAGUUUGAUUCUCCGAACAGUGUGUGUAGAUUUCCCCGGCAAAGUUGAUUUAGCAAGUCUGAGAAAAGCUCUACACCAAAAAAGGUAUAUCAAUUUUUCGAACUCGCAAACAUUGUAUGGCUUCCUGAAACAUUAUGACAACGUUUUCAAAAUAGAAGGAAACACUGAUAGAGAGGAGGGAAUGAUUGAAGAUGGUGAAGUCGAGGAUACAUUUGCUGAGGACAAGUUUUAUGUGACUGGACAUCCAAAUCUACUCCUGUGUCUGCAACAUUCAAAGCGUGUGGGAUCAUGUAAACAAGAUUGCGGGAGCCUUCAUGUAUGCAAAUAUUUCAUGUUGAAUAAAUGUGACAUGCAAGAACAGGGAAAGAAAUGCAUCUUUGGUCACGACAUGUACACAGAACACAACAAAGAGGUUAUGAGAAAAUCGUUGCUGCAAACAUUCAAAACUGAAAUUGAAAUCGAUGUCCUGCGUUUCCUAAGAUAUAGGAAUUCCACUACUGUUCCAGGAAUAUGUAAUUACUACAACAAACCAAUGGGCUGCAACAAGGCUGAAUGCGGAUUUCUCCAUGUGUGUGAAGCAUUCCUUCAUGGAACCUGCAGUACUUCAUACAGGUGCAAUCAUUCUCAUGAUGUUGGGGCAAACCAACCAUUACAUUGCCUUCGACGUAUUGGAAUAAAUCCAACGAAUGAUGAGGAGAAAGAAUUGGUUGUCAAAACCCUUAAAGCUAUAGCAAUCAACAAGAAUCAUAGUGUCAACCAGGGAAGAAAUGCUCAAGCUUCUACUGACAUACAUCAGUUGUCCACAGGUGGAUAUAACAAAGACAUGGCCAAAAACAAAUAAUGUGGCUCAAGUCUCAAGAUAUUUUUCUAGUACUGCGACUGGUCCUACUGAAACAAAGAAAGUCUCAGAGAAGCCUUCUGAAGCGAGUGACGAAGAUGGACAGCUUCGGGUGGAAGUGGAAGAUGAGGAAGAGGAGAAGGAACCAGAUGAAGAUCUCAGCACCUCGUGUACAGGGGACUGGACAUGGUCAUGGAUACACCCUCGUGGGACUCUGUGUAAUGUCACCGACAGUCACGCUUAUGAGCAAAGCUACAGAGAAUAUAUUCAAGCCAGGAAGAAGAGCUUUCUUAUCAAUGGUCAAAUGUGUGAGGUAGACUUUGCCACAAAGACUGGAGUGAUCGAUGGGGACGUUUCACUCAGUUUCAUGAGAGUCAGGACGCCAAAGAAGGACACAAAGUGUUCUUCUUCGGGCACAACGGGCCACUGUCCUGUUACCAAUGUUACUGAUUCUGAUGUAGGUGCUGCCACUGAUGUUGCUACAAGUGGUAGUUUAGCACAAUGUGUUAACGAUCUUCAUUCUGAAACACCAUAGACAGAAACCAGAAAUGAUCAGCAUCUGCUACUGCUAGUACUAAACCUUUGCACUUUGCUUGUGCAGGCAAAUAGAUUUAAUUUGUUUGUUGUCAUAUUUGUCUGAAACUAGACAAGAAGCUACGUUGACAAAUGUCUUCUCUCAAUUUCGUUCCUGUGUCUUACGCUAUGGAGUUUGUUUGAUUUCCUUGAUUUCCUUGGCAAUCAUAUUAUAAAGUUGCCUUUUUCUAUACCCGUGGCUAGUUUCCAGUAUGUUUUAUCAUAGCAUAACAACAUACUAAAACUACUACUACUACUACUACUACUACUACUACUACUACUACUACUACUACUACAGCUUCUGUUUCUAUUACCAUUAAUGCUAUCUUUUGGUUUGGUUUGGUCAUGGUCAACUCUCUGUCCUUGGACGGAUGAUAGGAAACAUGACAUAAAAGUUUGUGAUCUUUAUUGCUGACUAAACCUAUGGAGAAGAAACUACGGGAAUGACGUCAUUGAUGGUGUUAAAUGUUGAAGGCAACAUUGGUCAUCUAAAAUCCCAGUAAGAAGGUGAUAUCUACUUAGAGAAGCAUAGGGACAAGGGAGCAUGUUUUUACAUGUGUGUCUUGAAGAACUGUAUUAAAAGUACCGAAGAUGCCAAGAGGAAGUAGUAUAUCCAGGAAUGGAACUUGAACAUGAUGUCACAGCUUGAUAUGUGACGUAAUAAACAGCAUAAUCAUA